This 440-nucleotide ribosomal RNA is filed under the name uncultured bacterium. RNAcentral describes it as "partial 16S ribosomal RNA". It matches the Rfam family "Bacterial small subunit ribosomal RNA", at positions 338 to 795 of the family's 1533-position model. The record is from RNAcentral.
CCUACGGGGGGCAGCAGUGGGGAAUAUUGCACAAUGGGGGAAACCCUGAUGCAGCGACGCCGCGUGAGUGAAGAAGUAUUUCGGUACGUAAAGCUCUAUCAGCAGGGAAGAAAAUGACGGUACCUGACUAAGAAGCCCCGGCUAACUACGUGCCAGCAGCCGCGGUAAUACGUAGGGGGCAAGCGUUAUCCGGAUUUACUGGGUGUAAAGGGAGCGUAGACGGCAGCGCAAGUCUGGAGUGAAAUCCCAUGGCUUAACCAUGGAACUGCUUUGGAAACUGUGCAGCUAGAGUGCAGGAGAGGUAAGCGGAAUUCCUAGUGUAGCGGUGAAAUGCGUAGAUAUUAGGAGGAACACCAGUGGCGAAGGCGGCUUACUGGACGGUAACUGACGUUGAGGCUCGAAAGCGUGGGGAGCAAACAGGAUUAGAUACCCCAGUAGUC